CCCAAUUCAGGACACAGCCCAGCCUCCUUCCACUUGGAUUCCUCAGCCGAGAACUGUUGUUGAGUGACUAAGAAGGACAUUUCAUGCAAAUCACUGCCCCCUCCUUCACUUUGUCCUGCCACACCUCACCCCACUUUUGCCAAAUCGCUUAUAAGGACCUGAUGGGACCUUGAGUCCGCGUCUUACAUAAGGUUUACUACCUAACAAGCUUCAGGAAUUUCUUGGACAUUGUCAGAUCACUUAUGCCAAGCCUGAGGAAAGACUGUCAAGAAGAUAUUUAUUUUUUGCAUGCUUAAGUAAAGGAAGAAACCAAGACACAAACUACUCUACAGCCAGAAGAGCUGCUCUUCAGGCUGAAGACUGGGAAGGUACCAGUGGUGAAACUGAAGCAGAGAUAGUGAUUGGGUAAGUUUUGGCCAAAAAUUGCCAAAUUAGAAUAGUGAGAGUCCUCAUGUUUCUCUCCAGUGGGAGAACAGAAUCAUGACUGAGGUGUUCAGAGCUCUGAAAAAAAGUGUUGAUUCUUAGUUAUUGAAUAAGGGCAAAACCCUAUUUUUUGUUUCAACAGGCUCUUUUUUCUCCCUUCCAAGCAGGCACUACUAUAUAAUCUCUACCAAUUAGUAAAUAAUUAUUAUAUAUGAAUAAAAUAUUACUAUUUUGAAAGACUUUAAAC
This 670-nucleotide long non-coding RNA is filed under the name Struthio camelus australis. RNAcentral's name for it is "lncRNA (ENSSCUG00000006557.1)". The record is from RNAcentral. Lineage: Eukaryota; Metazoa; Chordata; Aves; Struthioniformes; Struthionidae.